UACGAAGGGGGCUAGCGUUGUUCGGAAUCACUGGGCGUAAAGCGCACGCAGGCGGAUCGUUAAGUCAGGGGUGAAAAUCCCGAGGCUCAACCUCGGAACUGCCUUUGAUACUGGCGAUCUUUGAGUCCGGGAGAGGUGAGUGGAACUCCGAGUGUAGAGGUGAAAUUCGUAGAUAUUCGCAAGAACACCAGUGGCGAAGGCGCUCACUGGCCCGAUACUGACGCUGAGGCACGAAAGCGUGGGGAGCAAACAGG
Molecule: ribosomal RNA, 254 nt
Filed under: uncultured bacterium
Lineage: Bacteria
Description: partial 16S ribosomal RNA
Rfam family: Bacterial small subunit ribosomal RNA
Source: RNAcentral